GAUGAACGCUGGCGGCGUGCCUAAUACAUGCAAGUCGAGCGAACGGACGAGAAGCUUGCUUCUCUGAUGUUAGCGGCGGACGGGUGAGUAACACGUGGAUAACCUACCUAUAAGACUGGGAUAACUUCGGGACACCGGAGCUAAUACCGGAUAAUAUUUUGAACCGCAUGGUUCAAAAGUGAAAGACGGUCUUGCUGUCACUUCUAGAUGGAUCCGCGCUGCAUUAGCUAGUUGGUACGGUAAUGGCUUACCAAGGCAACGAUGCAUAGCCGACGUGAGAGAGUGAUCGGCCGCCUUGGAAGUGAGACACGGUCCAGGCUCCUACGGGAGGCAGCAGUAGGGAAUGUGCCGCAGUAGGCGAAAGCCUGACGGAGCAACGCCGCGUGUGUGAUGAAGGUCUUCGGAGCGGAAAACUCUGUUAUUAGGGAAGAACAUAUGUGUAAGUAACUGUGCACAGCUUGACGGUACCUAAUCAGAAAGCCACGGCUAACUACGUG
This 497-nucleotide ribosomal RNA is filed under the name uncultured bacterium. RNAcentral's name for it is "partial 16S ribosomal RNA". It matches the Rfam family "Bacterial small subunit ribosomal RNA", at positions 28 to 507 of the family's 1533-position model. The record is from RNAcentral.